RNAcentral lists this ribosomal RNA (567 nucleotides) under Trigonopterus sp. 578 MB-2015. Its description in RNAcentral is "SSU rRNA". It matches the Rfam family "Eukaryotic small subunit ribosomal RNA", at positions 23 to 568 of the family's 1831-position model. Lineage: Eukaryota; Metazoa; Arthropoda; Insecta; Coleoptera; Curculionidae. RNAcentral also lists the same sequence under 1 other name. The record is from RNAcentral.
GUCAUAUGCUUGUCUCAAAGAUUAAGCCAUGCAUGUCUCAGUACAAGCCAAAUUAAGGUGAAACCGCGAAAGGCUCAUUAAAUCAGUUAUGGUUCCUUAGAUCGUACCCACAAUUACUUGGAUAACUGUGGUAAUUCUAGAGCUAAUACAUGCAAACAGAGCUCCGACCGGAGACGGAAGGAGUGCUUUUAUUAGAUCAAAACCAAUCGGUGGCGGGUUCGCUCGUUAUCGUACAACUUGGUGACUCUGAAUAACUUUACGCUGAUCGCACGGUCAUCGCACCGGCGACGCAUCUUUCAAAUGUCUGCCUUAUCAACUGUCGAUGGUAGGUUCUGCGCCUACCAUGGUUGUAACGGGUAACGGGGAAUCAGGGUUCGAUUCCGGAGAGGGAGCCUGAGAAACGGCUACCACAUCCAAGGAAGGCAGCAGGCGCGCAAAUUACCCACUCCCGGCACGGGGAGGUAGUGACGAAAAAUAACGAUACGGGACUCAUCCGAGGCCCCGUAAUCGGAAUGAGUACACUCUAAACCCUUUAACGAGGAUCAAUUGGAGGGCAAGUCUGGUGCC